RNAcentral lists this long non-coding RNA (1170 nucleotides) under Equus caballus (horse). Its description in RNAcentral is "lncRNA (ENSECAG00000056886.1)". The record is from RNAcentral. Lineage: Eukaryota; Metazoa; Chordata; Mammalia; Perissodactyla; Equidae.
GUUGGGGUCUGUCCUUAGAAAGUCACUGUUGGGGGAGGAACUUGGGCAGCAGGCAUGGGGAAGCUGUCGUGGCUUUCUGAGUGGAUAAGUGACAUGGACAUAGCUACCUGUGAGAAAGGUGAGCUGGCAGCAGUGCAUGCAGACAUGUGACCAGGCUCACCCACCUGAGUUUCCCAGAAGAUCCCUGCAGAAAAAACCUGGCAUCAAUAACUCUUAUUUGAACAGCACUUUACAGUUUGCAAAGAGCUUCCGCAGCCUUGACUCUUCUAAGGCUCACAGCCCUGCUGUGAACAACUUGGUGGCAUUUCCACUUUAUGUGUCAGGAAACAGAGGACUUGCCCCAGGUUGCACAGUGAGUCAAGGUUAAGGCCAGGAUCCUGGUCCUGUUUUUUUCUGAUUCCAAAUCCUGGACUCUUCUGAGCACCAUUCUGGCUAACCAGUCCUCAGGCCCAGCUCUGUCCCUCCCCAGCCUCGCCUGCUCCACGAAGAACAUUCCAGCUCCUGGCCUGCUCCACCCUCUCUUCCCCCACAGCCGCCCCAGGUGCCCAGGCUGCGGCUGCGUUUGCAGGACCCACAGCGAAGGCGAUGGGAAGGGGGGCCCUUGCUCAGGAGAGAAGCCUCUCAGACUCCGUUUCCUGCAGCGGGGGGCUCCUGGGCCCUGGCCCUGGCCACCCAGGAGACAGGGCCUGCCCGGGCAGAGCGGCGGCUCCGAGGCCCUCAGGCUGCCUUGUUUCCCCGUUGCCCAGACUCCGAGGCCUGGCCUGUCAGCUCGGGCCUGCUGUGACCUGGGAAGUGACGGGGCGGGGGGAGGGGUGGUUUCAGUCGCUGAUGAAAGCCACCGAAACCAGAACCAAACACACAGGAAAAGGAAGAACAAGAAGAGGCGCGAGCUGCCGGGUCGCAGGCGUGAUUGGGCUUGUCCCCCAGGUGGGGAGAUGGAGACAAAGACAGAAGCAUCCCCACAGCAAGCUACAGAGCCUCCGCAGGGCUGCUUGUGCGCGGGGCUCCCAGGCCUGGAAUGGUCUGUAGAAACCAUGCCUUCGGCUCCCUGAGUUUCAAGCAACAGCCCCUGCCAGAGCGAGCCGUUCACCUCGGUACUCAGGAGGCCUGGUGUGGAGAAGCCUUAACAGUGUAAGCCGAGAGGUAGCACCAUCGAUUCCUGUCUAGACU